GAGAACAGAGAGUCUUAUUGAAGACCUCCCUUUGAAAGUGUCAAGUGUACAACCUUUAGACUCUGAUAUUUUACCUUAAACUUCUGAUUUUCAGUGCUUCUAUUUGCAUUUACAUUGUAGUUCACAAUUAACAAAACUAUUAUUAGUAUUUUUUUCCAGCUUCUAAUGAAAAAUUUGAAUCUUUGAGACUUAAUAAAUAUGUUCCAUCGUGCAUUCAACCUCUGGAAGUCAUGAUUUAGUAUGGUAAAGAUUAUGAUUUUGAUGCUCCAGUGAAGCUCCUAGAGAAAUAUCUACAUGCUAUGGCACAAUCUAUUGAUGAGUAACUUGUUGUUGUUUCUCAGGUCUUGGCUUCUUAAUCAAUGGUUGAUUUGAAAUGCUUACCCCUUCUCUUUUUGGAUUCAUAUAGGUUCUUGCUUUCAAUGGUAAGCCUAUGAAGAAUCUGAAGGGCUUGGCCACCAUGGUUGAGAACUGUGAUGAUGAGUUUCUAAAGUUUGAUCUGGAAUACCAAUAGAUUAAAUGUACUCGCUUUAGUCCUUGUAAUAUUUAUGUUUCAACACUUUAGUUUGUAAAAAUAUAUUAGUUCUAA
Arachis ipaensis is the source of this 586-nucleotide non-coding RNA. The record is from RefSeq and is a predicted model, not a curated record. Lineage: Eukaryota; Viridiplantae; Streptophyta; Magnoliopsida; Fabales; Fabaceae.